CUGCGUGGCUAAAGCAGAUG
Molecule: non-coding RNA, 20 nt
Filed under: Arabidopsis thaliana (thale cress)
Lineage: Eukaryota; Viridiplantae; Streptophyta; Magnoliopsida; Brassicales; Brassicaceae
Source: RNAcentral